Molecule: ribosomal RNA, 1374 nt
Filed under: Triticum aestivum (bread wheat)
Lineage: Eukaryota; Viridiplantae; Streptophyta; Magnoliopsida; Poales; Poaceae
Description: partial small subunit ribosomal RNA
Source: RNAcentral
AUGGAUCCUCGUCGGCGCUUAGGCCGAUCACCACCGCGCAAGAGGGAACGCCAGGCAUCGCCGGCGAACUACAGCAACCGCCAUCUCUGGCGCUCACCCCCACGGGAGCGCGACUUCGCGCCCUCCUGGACAGGCGCGCCUUCUCCUCCUGCGGCCUUCUUGGAGCGGUCGCCCUCACCUCCCCUUCCUCUCCGGCGCUACAUCGAUGACAGCCGCGAGGAGCCCUACGGCCCUCGGCCAAGAUUCGAGCCAUGGCACGUGUCCUCGCCUUCAGGACAACGGAGGGAGGCUGACAGCUUCGGCAAUGGAUUCUUGGGCCAUGAGUGGCCGGAGUACAGCCGCGAGGGCAACUACGGUACGCCUAAGGGAUUCUUGGAGCUUGCUGAUUCUUUCCCGGGGCAGAGUCGUUUCGAUUGCGGCCGUGGUGAUGACUUCAGGCGACCGAACCGCUCCCUGCCGCGGUCGCCAAUGGACUGGGAUUUGCCUCGCGGGCAUUCGCCUUUCUUUGCCGACGAGGGACGCGGUCACGUGCAGUCGCGCGAUGACACGUUCGAUCGCUCCGGCCGCGGCGACGGCUUCGAGGCGGCUCCACGUCCAAGAUCCUUUGAGCGACCACAUCGCACGCCCAUGGAGCCCGGUGCCGAGUUCCCCGAGCGCUCCCAUGCCAUAAUCUUGGAGGGCAAGAGGCGAUGGACACCGUCUCCUCAGGAUCGCCGGCGGGGAGCUCUGUCCCCGGGGUCUGACGGCCAUGACCCCUGGACGCAGCGCUCCAUGGAGAGACUGGGGCAGCAGAGCUCGCCACGUGGAGACCGUGGGGGCUCGUUCCUGGAGACAGGAGACCGUGGGGAGCCCUACCCUUUGGGCCCGCCGCCUCCACACAAUCUCGGGGGCGGCAGAGGGGGCUUCCCACCACGGCGGUUCUUUCGCGGGAGGGGCGGGCUCCAGCAAACUGGGCCGCCAGGCGGCAGCGGACGCCAGCGAUCGCCUCGCCAGAGCUCGGUACUCCCUGCGCUGCGCACUGAGCCUGAAGCGUCGGGACGCAAGGCAUUUCCCCGGAAGAGGUCGGAGAAGCAAGUGGCAGGUGCUAUCAAGUCGACAGGAGUCGAGGAGCCGGAGCGUCCUUGGGAAUCUAAGCAUGAUGAUUCAAAUGGGGCGGUCAGACUCAGACCAGAAGCUGCAGAUAAUGAAGGGGCGAUCAAGCCAGAAGCUACGGUGGAUGAAGGAGAUGGGAGUGUCACCUCUGGUCUGAUUGCAGGGAUGUGCACAGAUGUACAGAAAGGCUACCUCCGUCUCACCGGGCCUCCGGAUGCAACAAAGAUAAGACCAAAGCUUGUACUCCCUCCGUCCGGAAAUACUUGUCAUCAAAAUGGAUAA